GAAGGAUCAUUACCGAGUAUCGGGGCCCUCUGGGUUCCUACUCCCACCCUAUGUGUACCAAUCUCAGUUGCUUUGGCGGGUCGUCGGUUUCGACUACCGUUGGCCUUUUAGGCUGGCGAGUACCCGCCGGAGGACCCUUAGAACUCGUUUUAACGGUGGCUCUGAGUGAAUCUUUGAAUAGAAAAAAAACUUUCAACAACGGAUCUCUUGGUUCUGGCAUCGAUGAAGAACGCAGCGAAAUGCGAUAGCUAGUGUGAAUUGCAGAUUUCAGUGAAUCAUCGAGUCUUUGAACGCACAUUGCGCCUCUUGGUAUUCCUCGAGGCAUGCCUAUUCGAGCGUCGUUUCGUCCCUCAAGCGCGAGCUUGGUGUUGGGGACCGCCCCUGAGAUAUGGCGGCGGCCCUUGAAUCCAUCGGCGGUGCCGGUGCGGCCCUGAGCGCAGCAGCGAUGCAGCUCUGAAGGCGGCGCCUGCCCAGCCGGACGACCCCACGAAACUUUCUGAACGUCGACCUCGAAUUAGGUAGGGAUACCCGCUGAACUUAA
RNAcentral lists this ribosomal RNA (541 nucleotides) under uncultured fungus. RNAcentral describes it as "eukaryotic LSU rRNA". The stretch from base 188 to 341 matches the Rfam family "5.8S ribosomal RNA". The record is from RNAcentral. RNAcentral also lists the same sequence under 1 other name. Lineage: Eukaryota; Fungi.